Molecule: ribosomal RNA, 462 nt
Filed under: uncultured bacterium
Lineage: Bacteria
Description: bacterial SSU rRNA
Rfam family: Bacterial small subunit ribosomal RNA
Source: RNAcentral
GAUAAACGCUGGCGGCGCACAUAAGACAUGCAAGUCGAACGAACUUAAUUUUAAUAUUUAUAUUAAAAAGCGGUUAGUGGCGGACUGGUGAGUAACGCGUAAGCAAUCUGCCUAUCAGAGGGGAAUAACAGUGAGAAAUCAUUGCUAAUACCGCAUAUGCCAUAAGAAUCACAUGAUUCUAGUGGGAAAGGAGCAAUCCACUGAUAGAUGAGCUUGCGUCUGAUUAGCUAGUUGGCGGGGUAACGGCCUACCAAGGCGACGAUCAGUAGCCGGACUGAGAGGUUGAACGGCCACAUUGGGACUGAGAUACGGCCCAGACUCCUACGGGAGGCAGCAGUCGGGAAUAUUGCGCAAUGGAGGAAACUCUGACGCAGUGACGCCGCGUAUAGGAAGAAGGUUUUCGGAUUGUAAACUAUUGUCGUUAGGGAAGAUAAAAGACAGUACCUAAGGAGGAAGCUCCGG